UAAGACAGAGGGUGCAAACGUUGUUCGGAAUUACUGGGCGUAAAGCGCGUGUAGGCGGUCAGGCAAGUCGGAUGUGAAAUCCCGUGGCUCAACUACGGAAGUGCACCCGAAACUGCUUGACUUGAGUCCCGGAGAGGAAGGCGGAAUGCUUGGUGUAGAGGUGAAAUUCGUAGAUAUCAAGCGGAACACCGGUGGCGAAGGCGGCCUUCUGGACGAGGACUGACGCUGAGACGCGAAAGCGUGGGGAGCAAACAGGAUUAGAUACCCUGGUAGUCCACGCCGUAAACGAUGAGUGCUAGGUGUCACGGGCUUUGACCCCUGUGGUGCCGUAGCUAACGCAGUAAGCACUCCGCCUGGGGAGUACGGCCGCAAGGCUA
RNAcentral lists this ribosomal RNA (377 nucleotides) under uncultured bacterium. Its description in RNAcentral is "bacterial SSU rRNA". It matches the Rfam family "Bacterial small subunit ribosomal RNA", at positions 521 to 896 of the family's 1533-position model. The record is from RNAcentral.